This 507-nucleotide ribosomal RNA is filed under the name Macaca siberu (Siberut macaque). RNAcentral's name for it is "partial 12S ribosomal RNA". It matches the Rfam family "Bacterial small subunit ribosomal RNA", at positions 799 to 1533 of the family's 1533-position model. The record is from RNAcentral. Lineage: Eukaryota; Metazoa; Chordata; Mammalia; Primates; Cercopithecidae.
GCCCUAAACCUCAGUAGUUAAACAACAAAACUACUCGCCAGAAUACUACGAGCAACGGCUUAAAACUCAAAGGACUUGACGGUGCUUUACAUCCCCCUAGAGGAGCCUGUUUCAUAAUCGAUAAACCCCGAUCUACCCUACCCUCUCUUGCUCAGCCUAUAUACCGCCAUCUUCAGCAAACCCUGAUAAAGGUCACAAAGUGAGCGCAAACGCCUCCCCGCAAAAACGUUAGGUCAAGGUGUAGCCCAUGAGACGGUAAAAAAUGGGCUACAUUUUCUGUAUCAGAAAACUCCACGAAAACUCUUAUGAAAUUUAAGAGUCCAAGGAGGAUUUAGCAGUAAAUUAAGAAUAGAGUGCUUAGUUGAACGAGGCCAUAAAGCGCGCACACACCGCCCGUCACUCCCCUCAAAUAUAUUUAAGGAACGUCUUAACUAAACAUCCCAAUAUCUAUAUAGAGGGGAUAAGUCGUAACAUGGUAAGUGUACUGGAAGGUGCACUUGGAUAAAU